Molecule: ribosomal RNA, 510 nt
Filed under: uncultured bacterium
Lineage: Bacteria
Description: partial 16S ribosomal RNA
Rfam family: Bacterial small subunit ribosomal RNA
Source: RNAcentral
GACGAACGCUGGCGGCGUGCUUAACACAUGCAAGUCGAACGAAGAGCGAUGGAAGCUUGCUUCUAUCAAUCUUAGUGGCGAACGGGUGAGUAACGCGUAAUCAACCUGCCCUUCAGAGGGGGACAACAGUUGGAAACGACUGCUAAUACCGCAUACGAUCCGACCUCGGCAUCGAGGAUGGAUUAAAGGUGGCCUCUAUUUAUAAGCUAUCACUGCAGGAGGGGAUUGCGGCUGUUGAGUAAGUGGGAGGGGAAAGGUCCCCCCUAGGUAAGGAUGAGUAGCCGGUCUGAGAGGAUGAACGGCCACAUUGGGACUGAGACACGGCCCAGACGGCUACGGGAGGCAGCAGUGGGGAAUCUUGCGCAAUGGACGAAAGUCUGACGGCGCAACGCCGCGUGAGGGAUGACGGCCUUCGGGUUGGAAAGCUCUGUUAAUCGGGACGAAAGGUCUUCUUGCGAAUAGUUAGAAGAAUUGACGGUACCGGAAUAGAAAGCCACGGCUAACUACGUG